Molecule: transfer RNA, 87 nt
Filed under: bacterium
Lineage: Bacteria
Description: tRNA-Leu
Rfam family: tRNA
About the family: Transfer RNA (tRNA) molecules are approximately 80 nucleotides in length. Their secondary structure includes four short double-helical elements and three loops (D, anti-codon, and T loops).
Source: RNAcentral
GCCGGGAUGGUGGAAUUGGUAGACACGCUAGAUUCAGGUUCUAGUGAGGGUUUCCUCAUGCAGGUUCAAGUCCUGUUCUCGGCACCA